GAUGAACGCUGGCGGCGUGCUUAACACAUGCAAGUCGAACGGAAAGGCCCAAGCUUGCUUGGGUACUCGAGUGGCGAACGGGUGAGUAACACGUGGGUGAUCUGCCCUGCACUUCGGGAUAAGCCUGGGAAACUGGGUCUAAUACCGGAUAGGACCACAUUUUGGAUGGUGUGGUGGAAAGUUUUUCGGUGUGGGAUGAGCUCGCGGCCUAUCAGCUUGUUGGUGGGGUAAUGGCCUACCAAGGCGUCGACGGGUAGCCGGCCUGAGAGGGUGUACGGCCACAUUAGGACUGAGAUACGGCCCAGACUCCUACGGGAGGCAGCAGUGGGGAAUAUUGCACAAUGGGCGCAAGCCUGAUGCAGCGACGCCGCGUGGGGGAUGACGGCCUUCGGGUUGUAAACUCCUUUCGCUAGGGACGAAGCGUUUUUGUGACGGUACCUGGAGAAGAAGCACCGGCUAACUACGUG
Molecule: ribosomal RNA, 467 nt
Filed under: uncultured bacterium
Lineage: Bacteria
Description: partial 16S ribosomal RNA
Rfam family: Bacterial small subunit ribosomal RNA
Source: RNAcentral